Syngnathus typhle (broad-nosed pipefish) is the source of this 344-nucleotide long non-coding RNA. RefSeq lists it as uncharacterized. The record is from RefSeq and is a predicted model, not a curated record. NCBI's taxonomy places the organism in Eukaryota, Metazoa, Chordata, Actinopteri, Syngnathiformes, Syngnathidae. The transcript has 3 exons.
AUAAUAUUCCUGCUCCUUUCCCGCCGGGACUCGCUCGGAGCAGGUAGAGCAUCUCUCAAGUCUCUCAAGUGUGCAGCUUCCAAACUUCUUUCAACACGUUACGGCCCGGCUUCUGCUGUCCACAGUGUCCGCGAUGAGUUACUACAUGGAUCCAGUUUCUUCCUAUCCAGCCCUUCACCCCUGUGACCGUCUGGCCGCGAUGAGGCAAAGUGGAGGUGUUGCCAUUGGCCCCCAGUUGCAUCUCCCUGCGGUGGUCCACCCACAGCAGCAGUACUACCCCUCACAGCCUUUCUACCCUCAUGAUGUGCCCCUGCAGGAGGUGCCCAAUGGGCACGACACGUGUC